AGGAAGCAGCUCUGAAUAUGGUUCCCUUAGAUGAACAUAAGGAGAAUGCGCUUAUUUCACUGGCCAAGGUUUGUGUUUCUGCCUCGGCUUUCUAUUGGUUAUAAGUCUUCUUUUCGUCCUGAUGUUCUCAAUAUUUCUAGAUAACCAUGUUUUGUUGGACUUAUUGAUAAAGUAAAUUUUCGGGUACAAGUUUGGCUCCAAGGAAAGUUAUUGUAUUUACUAAUUUUUUUUUAAUUUAACACCAUGACUAUGCCUCAAUAUUACAAUUGUCGUAAUGGUGUGGAUUGCUAUAUAAAGUUCUAUGUUUGAAGGGAUGUGUUGUCAGAAAUUCUCAUACACGAUUCUUUAGUAGGAAGAGAAUUUCAGUCCUUCAAAAGUGAAGAGGAUCAUGCCUUUCUGUUGGAUUUGGUUUUUUGGUUUAAGCAAUCAUUCAGGUUAUUGAAACACUCAUGUGCCUCUUUUCUUCAGUCAUUACUAAUGUUGAGUGUUGUGUGUCUGAUAUGAGGAAAAUGGUUGAGAGUAAUUACCGGCAGGAGGAUCGCUGGGUGGUAGCUGAGUGGGAGGGUUCAGAUUAGGGAUUACGAGUAUGAAGUAGAUGUGAUAGAUUGUAACUCUUCUUGCUUGAUUAAUUCAUCUCAAGAGGUCCACUUUAUAUAUAGAGGCCUAACAAUUAAAAAACUAAUCAUCCUUACAUGCAUACAUGCAUGCGUCACUCUGGAGCCAAAAACUAAUUACGAGUAUGCAGGUUGCAGUCCCUUGCUCUACAUAUAACUCGCUAACUCUACUAAUUCAUGUAUCAGUAUAUGCAUAUAUGUAGUCCGUUCCCAGUACAUGUGUUCGGAAGACUGGACAUUUGUACUUAUUCAAAAUUUUCUUUUCAUAAAAAGUUCCUUGGAAGAGAUUGCUAAGUUUAACGAGCAAUGUCCCUUUUACAUCUACUUACAGUGUGUUUUUCUUUUGGUUUCACCACAUUUUUAGGUUUUUACAGGUUGUGUAUAGCAUAGGAGGCAUUGAGGAUGAAACAUGAAUGUCCAUUGUUCUUGUCCGCUCCUGAUCUCAGUAGACCUGUGUGAUGUGCUCUUGAUCCUUUCUCUUUUUUCUGUUAAAUGAAUCUCUGACUGAGGAGAGCAUGUUCUUUCAUUCGGUUGCAAUCGUGAAACUUCUUUUGGGUUUUCUUAUUGUACAGUACGAACAUUCCAAAUUAUUUGAUCCUGGAAAUAAGUUGCCAAUUUUCUGUGUGCAAUGAGCUGGGAGCCGGGGUCAGCCCUCUCACCACCAGUCGAACAUACAACUUCAGCCACCAUGUCAAGUGAUAUAAAAGUGUUCUCUGUUUCAUAGAGCAACGACACGAGAUUGUGUCCCCUCUUGCUCCUGGUGCAUGUUGCUGCCCUCCUUUCCCCUCUGACUUGACUUGCUUUACAUUGUGUGAAGUAGUUUACUUUCAACUUUACAACGCUAUAUCAAGUUCGCAACUGUACUUGGCUACACCUAUAACAUGAUGCAUUUCUCUUACAGUUUAUUGAAUAUAUUUUUAAGGAUUGAAUGUUCUAUCUGGUACUGUCCUAUCACUCAUUUAACUAUCUUAAUUUGUUCACAAAACUCCUUCUGUAGCUAAGAUUUCUUUGUACAACACAUACUAAUUAUUGCUCUUAUUCUUAAAUCUUAUUUCACUUUAUUCAGCUGCAGGCUGGGUUAAGAUUGUUUUUGUGCCAGAAACAGGCUAGGCAUUGCUCUAACCUUGGCAGCAAAAAUCGUCUAAAUUUCAUAAAUAAGGUAGUGGAAUAUCUUUGAAUAUGUUCAUUUAAAUAUCUUGAGUUCACCUGUAUGGGUUGCUUCUGUGCACACUUUCUUUGAUAUGACUUUCUAGGUGAGAAAUUCUUUCAUGGUAAUGAUGUAUUAUCGAUAUUUACUAUGUUUCUUAGGCCUAUAGGUUUCUUUUUGUGGGAUGCAAUUACGGUACAAUAUGAAUAUGAUCCUCGAGUUGCAUAUUAUUGCCUUUGGACAUAGACAUGUGCCAUGUAGUAUAACAUUUACAAAGAAUGUCUUGGAGAUUGCAAGUAGAUGAUUACGGUUACCCUGUAACCUUAGGAGUAAGAUAUAUAUGAUGAUAGAAUCUAGAGAUGCUUGCUAAUCUAUAACAAUAAGAUCCAGUCACGUGCAAUAUGUUUUAUUCAUAGAAACAGGGAAUCAAUCUGGCUGAAAGUAGUCAUCUUAUGGCGUGGUGUGAAGAGGUUGUUCACAAACCUCUUACGUGCUCCAUCCUUUGUCACUCUGAUUUGAUUUCCUAAUAUCUGGCUUCUCUGAACAGAUGUGUGCAGAUCUGAGAAAGAAGAGGAAUAAUCCAGCAGAACAAUUUAGUGAAUAAGAACAAGUUGGCAUUUCUCUCUUGUGAAUGCAGUCAUGCCUGCCUAUUGAUUUUAUUAUUUGUGCUAAUGCAAACAUGAAUUCUCUAUAGUUCUUGAUGCAGCACCGCUAAUUACUCAAUCUGCAAUACAUGAUUAUUUCUGGGAGAAGUUUAGUGCAUGAAUUAGCAUUCUGUAAAGUUAGUCUAAGCUCAUGUCUCUAGGCCAGGAUAGAUUUCUCAAUAUCAUUUUUGGGGUUGUUUGAACACUGAACAACAUUGCCAGGUCAACCAUUUCUCAUUUCUUUGUCAUAUCUGUAAAACAUUGACACACCAAGUUUACGGGUGGUGUCUCAAUUUUGUCACCAGCCACUUUCACCGACCCGUAAACUAUCUGUCUCGAGGUCUCCCCAACUGUGUUUGGGUUUAGAAAAACAAAGAACUAUUUUGAAGUCAUUUUCGCAUCAGCUACUUUGUAGGUAUUAUGUGCGUUGUCAGGGAUCUAAUAUCAUGUAGUUCCAGGGAUUUCAGAAGGUCUGGUCAGUCCAUUGUUCUUGCCGUGUGUUACUUUUUCUCAUUACUGUGAUCGUCAGUGCUCUUGACAUCGGUUACUUUUUCUCAUUACUGUGGUCGUCAGUGCUCUUGACAUCGGUUACUUUUUCUCAUUACUGUGAUCGUUUGUGCUCUUGACAUCGGUCGUUCUUGCUUUAUGGUUGCCUUCCCAGUGCACGUUUAUUAGUUCUAACAUAUUAAUGUUAAUAUGCUUGAUUGACCAUAUUAUAUAUUUCACUUCACCGGGGUGGUUGGUGGAAGUGUUGGUUAAAACAAUGUCUCUAAUUAACAAGUUUAUACAGUUGAAUCUUCUUGAUUGACUAUUUUGUAGCUUGCUCUUAGUUGUAUAGUAUUAAUUCUUAAAACUGGAUCUCUUAAAAUUAGUUAAAUUGAACGAGUUGUUUCACUGUUUUGAAAUAAGUAGUUUCAUCCGUCACUGUGUCCUGAAUUUAUUCUUACUGCCUUUUAUGACUUAAAUGUAACUACUGGCAUAUAAUCUCAUGGCUUAAAAUCUUAGUUGAGAAGGUAUUAAAAGUUAUAAGAUCUGGAGUUUCCACUAUUUCAUCCAGCGGUAUUCCCAGUAACUGAAUAUUAAGAGCACUGACGAUCAUAGGUUGUACAUUUAGUUACCGGGAAAUGCUUUUAUCUUGCAGGCCAGUUUUACAUUUACUUUUUCAAUAAUGAGAUGACUAUGAACAGAGUAUCAAGUUUUUUGCCUUGGCAUUACUGCUGCUGUGUACGGAUGGUUACUGAAAGAAGAAGGAUUCAAGCGGCAUACCUUCACUUGACAGAUGCUUUAACCGCAAGAACUGUUGUUAUUUUCUUUUCCUUUCCUACAUUGAUGGUAGUUCGCCUUUGAUUCUAGAAGUCGCAAAGGUGUGAAGGGUAGAGAUUUCCAUUGCCGUUGAAUUGGUGGGAUUGUCACCAAGUUAGUGUUGCAGAUUGUUUCUAUUUUAGAGCAAGAAGCCAAAUCAUGUUGUUCAUUGUAAAUCUUGAAAAACUUGUUUACUGUCACUUCUAUAUCUAUUGUAAACUUUCGUUCCUGGUGUGGUACUUACCAAUCUUGGUGUGCCCUUCCAUUGCAGCAGACCAAUAUGUCCUUGUUUCUUCAAAAAAAAAAAAAAUCUCAUUUCAAGUUUGCACCUCUAUUAUAGUAGAACAUGUCAUAAACAUGGCAUUGGG
RNAcentral lists this long non-coding RNA (4075 nucleotides) under Triticum aestivum (bread wheat). Its description in RNAcentral is "long non-coding RNA (TAES_LNC004490)". The record is from RNAcentral. Lineage: Eukaryota; Viridiplantae; Streptophyta; Magnoliopsida; Poales; Poaceae.